This 497-nucleotide ribosomal RNA is filed under the name uncultured bacterium. RNAcentral's name for it is "partial 16S ribosomal RNA". It matches the Rfam family "Bacterial small subunit ribosomal RNA", at positions 28 to 507 of the family's 1533-position model. The record is from RNAcentral.
GAUGAACGCUGGCGGCGUGCCUAAUACAUGCUAGUCGAGCGAACAGACGAGGAGCUUGCUCCUCUGACGUUAGCGGCGGACGGGUGAGUAACACGUGGAUAACCUACCUAUAAGACUGGGAUAACUUCGGGAAACCGGAGCUAAUACCGGAUAAUAUAUUGAACCGCAUGGUUCAAUAGUGAAAGACGGUUUUGCUGUCACUUAUAGAUGGAUCCGCGCCGCAUUAGCUAGUUGGUAAGGUAACGGCUUACCAAGGCAACGAUGCGUAGCCGACCUGAGAGGGUGAUCGGCCACACUGGAACUGAGACACGGUCCAGACUCCUACGGGAGGCAGCAGUAGGGAAUCUUCCGCAAUGGGCGAAAGCCUGACGGAGCAACGCCGCGUGAGUGAUGAAGGUCUUCGGAUCGUAAAACUCUGUUAUUAGGGAAGAACAAAUGUGUAAGUAACUAUGCACGUCUUGACGGUACCUAAUCAGAAAGCCACGGCUAACUACGUG